This 444-nucleotide ribosomal RNA is filed under the name uncultured bacterium. RNAcentral's name for it is "bacterial SSU rRNA". It matches the Rfam family "Bacterial small subunit ribosomal RNA", at positions 29 to 507 of the family's 1533-position model. The record is from RNAcentral.
AACGAACGCUGGCGGCAGGCCUAACACAUGCAAGGUCGAGGGGGAAGCCACUUUCGGGUGGUGGAGACCGGCGCACGGGUGAGUAACGCGUGGGCAUCCGCCCUGGGGUGGGGGAUAACCGCUGGAAACGGCGGCUAAUACCGCAUACGCCUUGAGAGGGAAAGAUUUAUCGCCCUGGGAUGAGCCCGCGUUGGAUUAGCUUGUUGGUGAGGUAAAGGCUCACCAAGGCGACGAUCCAUAGCUGGUCUGAGAGGAUGAUCAGCCACACUGGGACUGAGACACGGCCCAGACUCCUACGGGAGGCAGCAGUGGGGAAUAUUGGACAAUGGGGGCAACCCUGAUCCAGCCAUGCCGCGUGUGUGAAGAAGGCCUUAGGGUUGUAAAGCACUUUCACCGGUGAAGAUGAUGACGGUAGCCGGAGAAGAAGCCCCGGCUAACUCCGUG